UAAUAGCAUAUAUUAAAGUUGUUGCAGUUAAAAAGCUCGUAGUCGGAUUUUGGGCGCGUGUGGGCUGUCGGCCUCUGGUCGGACGGCAUGCGCGUGCCUUUCUGCUUGGGAGCCCCAUGGCGGUUCACGCCGUCGUGGUGGGUCACAGGCCGUUUACUUUGAAAAAAUUAGAGUGUUCAAAGCAGGCUAUUGCUUGAAUAGAUUAGCAUGGAAUAAUGGAAUAGGACCUUGGUGCUAUUUCGUUGGUUAUGGGACUGGGGUAAUGAUUAAUAGGGACAGUUGGGGCCGUUCAUAUUUCGUUGUCAGAGGUGAAAUUCUUGGAUUUACGAACGAUGAACUUGUGCGAAAGCAUUCGGCAAGGAUGUUUUCAUUGAUCAAGAACGAAAGUUAGGGGAU
This 396-nucleotide ribosomal RNA is filed under the name uncultured Cryptomonas. RNAcentral describes it as "SSU rRNA". It matches the Rfam family "Eukaryotic small subunit ribosomal RNA", at positions 592 to 998 of the family's 1831-position model. Lineage: Eukaryota; Cryptophyceae; Cryptomonadales; Cryptomonadaceae. The record is from RNAcentral.